This is a long non-coding RNA of Oncorhynchus keta (chum salmon), 378 nucleotides long. RefSeq lists it as uncharacterized. NCBI's taxonomy places the organism in Eukaryota, Metazoa, Chordata, Actinopteri, Salmoniformes, Salmonidae. The record is from RefSeq and is a predicted model, not a curated record. The transcript has 3 exons.
AGAGAAGAAGAGGUUAACAGAGACACCCUCCAACUAAAACACAGAGAGAAGAGGUUAACAGAGACACCCUCCAACUAAAACACAGAGAGAAGAGGUUAACAGAGACACCCUCCAACUAAAACACAGAGAGAAGAGGUUAACAGAGACACCCUCCAACUAAAACACAGAGAGAAGAGGUUAACAGAGACACCCUCCAACUAAAACACAGAGAGAAGAGGUUAACAGAGACACCCUCCAACUAAAACACAGAGAGAAGAGGUUAACAGAGACACCCUCCAACUAAAACACAGAGAGAAGAGGUUAACAGAGACACCCUCCAACUAAAACACAGAGAGAAGAGGUUAACAGAGACACCCUCCAACUAAAACACAGAGAGAA